This 514-nucleotide long non-coding RNA is filed under the name Toxoplasma gondii VEG. Lineage: Eukaryota; Apicomplexa; Conoidasida; Eucoccidiorida; Sarcocystidae. The record is from RNAcentral.
CUCCAAAUGAGAAUCACUCCUUGUGUGACUUUCAACCACAUUGUGGAUGUCCUUUUGGACACUUGAAAGUCUGGCUCAGAAAACGACUAGGUACUCCGGUCCGCUCUUAUCGACAUGCACAGUGCCAGAGCCUGCUGCCAGGCACACCCCCCCUCAUGAGAGAGCUGAGAAGACAGCUCUCAUCCUGGCAGUAUCCUUGUCCUUUCUUUGGCCUUUUCUCUGCUAAAUCACGCGUUUCGUUUCCUUAUCGAUGAGUCGAUGAUUUAAAAACAAAAGGAUGUGUCCCAGUGGAGGGACUGGGCGAUCAAAAUAGUCGGUAUCUCCAUCGAGUUCACUGGAACUUGUGAUUCCGGAACAAGGCUUGUUUGCGGGUCACAUUCUCUUGGCACACCGGUGUUCUGACCUCAUCCGCUUCACAUCCUUUUUCUGAAGAAGCUGGGCUCCUCAUAAAGUACCUUUCAGCGUUUCCAGCGACGAAACCGUUCUAUCCGGUUGAGCUGCCGGCGACUCACUG